CCACCCCCCCUUCCUCGUACUGUCUAAACAUGCCCAUCCUCCUCCAUCUUUCUCUCUUUCAGUCACAAACCAUACUCAAAAAGCCCUAGCUAUGAUUUUUUUUUUAAACAAAUAAUUUGCCCUAGCUAUCUAUGUAGCUUGUUAGCUAAUAGCUAUAGCUUUCUUGUUCAAAUAACCUAGACAAGAAUUGCGUUAGGUUGCAUUGUCGAUAGAAGACUAUAAUUUAUACCACUAUGCUUCAUGUGAUGGGUCAAUAAUUUAUUAAGAUCUAUAUAAUACUUCUUCCUUGCUUGUUUGUGUUUGAGUGUUGUAAUGCUUCGGAUACAAGCAUGGCCUACAAUAAUAUUAGUAGCCUUGCAAAAGAUAUAUAGUAAUUGGUUAUUUCGUGUGUUUGCUGCACAAUUAGAGGAUAUAUAGCGAUGCCUUUGUGGGUGCUUAAUUAAUUGUUAGAGAGUUGGUGAGGGAUAUGGAAGGGGCUCACUUCAGUCCAGUCCGAGGCGGUGGAAGAUGGCUGAAACUCAGCUGCUGACUCGUUGGUUCGAGAGCUCACCAUUAAGAUCGAUCGAUGAUGUCGGCACUCAGCCCAUGUACAUAAUUAAGGUGGUCUGCUUCUGAUCCAACGAUGCGGGAGCUGCAUUUAGUCGUGACUGUCACGUCUUGGACUGAAGGGGCCUCUUCAUUUCCCAUAUCCUUCACUCGUAUAUAGUACUUCCUUGUUAUUAUACGUUUGUUUGCUUAGUUAAUGUUUUUCUAGUCUACGCAUGCAGUUUCUUCUAACAUAGAUAUUAAGAGCUGAUAUAUAUAUAUAUAUAUAUAUAUACUGAAAAGUUCAAUCGAUUAAUUUUUGCGUUGUAGAAGAGCUGAAUGUUUACAUGGUCCUAACCAGUCGUUCUCUUCAUUCUUCAAGAACCAUAGAAUAAUAAUUAGCUAACUACGACUAUGAGCAUGCUGAUUAGUCUCUUAGUGGUUCAACAAUGUAUACUCGGUGCCUGAAAACAUGCGUUGUCAAAAGUUUUCGAGGUUGGAACCUACUACAGUAACGGCUGAUGGGAGAAGUUGAGGCAAAAUCUUACACUUUACAGUGUGCAAGAUCUGCUUACCCUUGGACAAUGUCAAAGUGACACUUUUGACAUUCUUCAAACACGGAUUCCCAGCUGUUGAACAAUUGAAAGCAGAUUGCAUCACGAGAGUUAAUUUCAACCAUGUUAUAAUUCCGUACAGAUUAAAUUAUAGUUACCUAUAUUCUUUGGGGGUGGUUACUGGCCGGUUAGUGUAUUUCUUGAUCAGAAUGUUCGGUGAAUCUAGUAUGUUAUAUAAUUAAUUUGUCUUUGCUCUACCGAACUCAAGUUGUUGAGUUAUUUGCAAAGUGCAGACAGGAAAAUCUGGAUACCGUUUAAUUUCUUGUUGUGACUAAAAAUAUUCUAAUGAAAGACUUAAAGAUUGUAGUUGACGGCUUGACUUCAGUUUUGCUAUCUGGCAAGCAAGUUGAAGUGAACUGCUGAAGA
This is a long non-coding RNA of Glycine soja, 1505 nucleotides long. RefSeq lists it as uncharacterized. The transcript is spliced from 2 exons. The record is from RefSeq and is a predicted model, not a curated record. NCBI's taxonomy places the organism in Eukaryota, Viridiplantae, Streptophyta, Magnoliopsida, Fabales, Fabaceae.